Long non-coding RNA from Acanthopagrus latus (yellowfin seabream), 654 nucleotides. RefSeq lists it as uncharacterized. NCBI's taxonomy places the organism in Eukaryota, Metazoa, Chordata, Actinopteri, Spariformes, Sparidae. The record is from RefSeq and is a predicted model, not a curated record. The transcript has 2 exons.
ACUGCUCCUGGCCAAGAAAUAGUCCGGCACAUAACCUCCGUAAAACUGCAAACUGACGUUUUCAAGUUUUGGAUUUUGCACAGUUCAACAAACUAGACUUGAUGUGUUAAUUAGAGAGCUUCAGAGGUGCCGGUAGGUGGGAUUAGUUACCUCUCGACAGAGCCAAGCUUUUAUGCUAAGCUAAGCUAACCAGUUCCUGGCUGUAGCCUUGUAUUCAAUUGCCAGACAGGGGGAUGGGAAUCAAGAAUCUGUUCCAAUGCAUUGCAAAAACAGUGAUGUUAAAAUCAUGCGUUCACACUGCUGGAACCAACAUAAAGGAGGCUUGACGGAGAGAAAGAAUGCGUCGAAUGCGUGGUUUCAUUUCAUGGAGAAAGAUGACAACAGUGCCUGUUGUAAUGUCUGUGAGAUGAAUUCCAUGGAAACACCAGCUAGACACUGAAACAUCUCUCUACGCAACAUGGGCUUCAAUUCCAGCAGUGCCAUGUAUUUGACACAAGUGCCACUGUGGUCCCAACCAAGCAACCGAGGAUGACAGACAGCCUGUUACUCCAGCUACAAGCUGUUAAACAGUGGAGCUUUUGCACACCUGAGUCGCGCACAUGCUGCAAAUAGACUCGGAGAUAAUAAAACAGUUGCACUGAUGCUGAAAACCCA